This 64-nucleotide transfer RNA is filed under the name Pyrenophora tritici-repentis Pt-1C-BFP. Its description in RNAcentral is "tRNA-Arg (CCG) (tRNA-Arg-CCG-1-1)". It matches the Rfam family "tRNA". From Rfam's summary of the family: Transfer RNA (tRNA) molecules are approximately 80 nucleotides in length. Their secondary structure includes four short double-helical elements and three loops (D, anti-codon, and T loops). Lineage: Eukaryota; Fungi; Ascomycota; Dothideomycetes; Pleosporales; Pleosporaceae. The record is from RNAcentral.
GGCUUCUUGGUCCAGUGGUCAGGACGGCACCGUGCAGACUGAGGUUCAAAUCCUUGAGAGGCCA